RNAcentral lists this unclassified non-coding RNA (606 nucleotides) under Hevea brasiliensis (rubber tree). Lineage: Eukaryota; Viridiplantae; Streptophyta; Magnoliopsida; Malpighiales; Euphorbiaceae. The record is from RNAcentral.
UUUUGAUUUAUUUAUUUGAAAUUUGUAGUUUUUAGAUUUCAAUUUCAAAUAAUCUCAACAAUUUUGCAGUUGUUGAGAUUGAGCUUCUGAAGGGAAUUCAUUUCUUAUACAAGAUAUUCCGUGAAUUGAGCAGUAAACAACUCCUUUAUUGUUACACAUCAUGAGUUCAUUAGUUAUAUUGCUUGGAAUAUUGGGCUAUCUAGCCACCUGGAACUGGAAGCAUUUGCUUUAAGAUAAGACAUGACAGGCUCCAAGUUUUGUUCUGCUGGCCUGCCAUCCCUCAGCACCUAAUGGACCAAGACAAAUUCUAAAACCCACAGCAAGUAUAAACCAAAAUCCAAAAGCUCACAUCUUUAUUAAGAAAAGAAAGCCCAAUAGGCAUCAAACCAUUACUUUAGAUUACAUACAUCCAUAUCUACUUGUUUAUUGGAUCGUAGGGGAUAGGUAUACCAUUUCAGACAAACUGCAACACACCAAGUUCGAAUUUGCCGUUGUUUUCAGGCUCAGCCAGAGAUAUCAAUGGCCUUGACAUCAGGUUUCUUGACUUCCUCUUUAGGCACGGUCACUGUCAAGACUCCACUUUCCAUGCUUGCCUUAACCUGAUCA